Molecule: ribosomal RNA, 748 nt
Filed under: Semisulcospira libertina
Lineage: Eukaryota; Metazoa; Mollusca; Gastropoda; Semisulcospiridae
Description: eukaryotic LSU rRNA
Rfam family: Eukaryotic large subunit ribosomal RNA (bases 422-748)
Source: RNAcentral
AAACCGCCUAGAGGUAAACGGGUGGAUCCGCAAAGUCGGCCCACGGAAUUCAGCUCGGAAGGCCGGCGCGGGCGGCGGGCAAGAGAUCUGAUGGGACUCUCCCGUCGUUCGACCGCUGGUCGGCCGUGUGCACUUUCCGCGGGCAGAGCGCCACGACCGGUUCCCGGGCGGUCAGAAGGCGGCGAGGAAGGUAGGUGGUUGCUCCGGCGGCCACUGUUACAGCCUCGCCUGUCCCGAUCCGCCGGGGGACCGAGGAGCCGCCGUCGGUCGCGGCCACUCCGCUCUCUAGGGGAGUUCGACUGGCAGAGACUGGGCAACCGUGUCUGCCGACCGCUCUCUGGGAUGGUCGGAGCGGGCCUGGCCGGCACAGGGUCGGUGGCGAAUCGGUCGGCCCUCCACCCGACCCGUCUUGAAACACGGGCCAAGGAGUCUAACAUGCGCGCGAGUCGUUGGGUAGUACGAAACCCGAAGGCGAAGUGAAAGCGAGGGCGCGCCUCUGGUGCGCUCAGGUGGGAUCCCGCUCCUCACGGGGAGUGGGCGCACCGCCGGCCCGUCUCGUCCGCGCUGUCCGUGAGGCGGAGCAAGAGCGUGCACGUUGGGACCCGAAAGAUGGUGAACUAUGCCUGAGUAGGAUGAAGCCAGAGGAAACUCUGGUGGAGGUCCGCAGCGAUUCUGACGUGCAAAUCGAUCGUCAAACUUGGGUAUAGGGGCGAAAGACUAAUCGAACCAUCUAGUAGCUGGUUCCCUC